GAUGAACGCUAGCUACAGGCUUAACACAUGCAAGUCGAGGGGAAACGAUAUUGGAAGCUUGCUUCCGAUAGGCGUCGACCGGCGCACGGGUGAGUAACGCGUAUCCAACCUGCCCAUCACUUGGGGAUAACCUUGCGAAAGUAAGACUAAUACCCAAUGAUAUCCGUCGAAGACAUCUGAAGUGGAUUAAAGAUUCAUCGAUGAUGGAUGGGGAUGCGUCUGAUUAGCUUGUUGGCGGGGUAACGGCCCACCAAGGAAACGAUCAGUAGGGGUUCUGAGAGGAAGGUCCCCCACAUUGGGACUGAGACACGGUCCAAACUCCUACGGGAGGCAGCAGUGAGGAAUAUUGGUCAAUGGACGAGAGUCUGAACCAGCCAAGUAGCGUGCAGGAUGACGGCCCUAUGGGUUGUAAACUGCUUUUAUAAGGGAAUAAAGUGGGAGUCGUGACUCCUUUUGCAUGUACCUUAUGAAUAAGGACCGGCUAAUUCCGUGCCAGCAGCCGCCGUAA
RNAcentral lists this ribosomal RNA (508 nucleotides) under uncultured bacterium. RNAcentral describes it as "partial 16S ribosomal RNA". It matches the Rfam family "Bacterial small subunit ribosomal RNA", at positions 28 to 523 of the family's 1533-position model. The record is from RNAcentral.